GAGUAGAAGACCCCAGGUUUAUUAAUGAGCUGUGGUGUGAGGUAGGCAGGAUUGGUGCACUCCUUCUAGAAGAUGGGUCACUGAGUAUUCCUCUGCUAUAGCUGUUCACCAGAAAGUGUGCUCUGUUGUGUUGUCUGUCACCCAUUGUGCAGGCUCACAAGGUACAUUUCUUUGCAUGCACUUAUCUCCACCUAAACUGUGGGAAUUGCCACAAUGCUGGCAAUUGGCCUUGGUGUUCCUCAGGCAUUGUUUCCACAAAGCAAUUAGUGCAUAUCCACUGAGGACAGGUACUAGGAUCGCAGUAGUCAUGCAUCUGGACCUGCUAUGGAGCCAGACCAGACUCUGACUUGGCCUAGCUCCUGCAUGCUUAUGCCCACAAUCUGCUAAGGCCAGACCAGUCUCAGCCAUGGAGUACCCAUUAUCUGCUUGGAUGUCCCACAGGCAUNGGAGAGACUUCAGCCCUUCUUCCUAAGUCACAUGGCCAUGGGGCUCAGCUCUGAUUUCAGACCCAUCUCUGUGUGUGGGUAACCCACUGGCUUAUGUUUCCAGAACUUGCAGGGAUGGGGGCUGGCACACACUCCUAGAGCUCAUAGAGGGGGUGCCCUGUCAGCUGAGAGUGCAGAGAAAGAGGCUGCCAUGGUGGGCCCUGCCCCUUCCUUUAUGCGCUCCUUAACAGUGGUGCUUUGCUUCUGUGGUUGGCCUGGGCAUCCUCUGAGUACAUCCUUGGUUAUGGCCAUACCUCACUCUAGCCCCUUCAGGAUGUCUCUGUGCAGCCAACCCCAGUCCUCUCCCCAGGUCUGCCUCUUAAGCUCCAGUUUCAGCACCUAGCCUUUGCCUGCACCUGGAGACAUGUGCCUCAGGCUGGGGAACACAGGGUGAUGGUGCAGACCAUUUGGGUAGGUCUCUGUUCUGCCUGCCACAUACAGCUGUGCACUCUCCUCCAAGCCUCUAAAGCUCCCUUUCUGUCCUGCCUGAUCUCCUCUACCCCCAUUGAGGGGACUUCACAGGGUGUGGAAACUUCUCCUCUCCUUCAGCUCCCUCCCAGGGGCACAGGCCCUGUCCUGCUUUUCUUCCCGCCGCCCCGCCCCCCCAGUUACAUGGAGCUCUUUCUUCCAUCUCAGGAGUCUGAGGUCUUCAGGCAACAUUCACUAGGUAUUCUGUGAGAUCUGUUCCAUAUGUAGAUGUAUUUUGGAUGCAUUUGUAGGAGGAUGUGAGCUCCAUGUCCCUCUACUCUUCCAUCCUGAUUCCUCCCACACUUUUGAUAUAUGUAUCUGAUCAAAUUCUUCACCCUGUACCUUUUUAUCUGUACGUCCUUGACUUGCCUUUAGCAAGAAUCUUAAGUGGCUUUAGCAAAAACUCUUGAUGCCUCCUCUUAGCAAUUCUCCACCCACCGAACCCCUCUCCAUUCCGCUUGUCGUCUCUCCUGUACUCAGAAUUGAACCCAAUCUCUCCUCCUAUUGUGAUAAGUCUCGACACCUGCUGUGACAAUUUCCAGCCUACUUACCGCAAUAGUCCCAAGUAAAGUCUUCCAUUCUGUUUAUAAGGAUCAAUCAGUUUUUCUCUACCACAUUGUAUCUGUCUUGGAAGCCUCCCACGACCCCAGCCUGGAGUGAGCACCCUCUGCCAAGCUCCUAUCACACCCUGGGCUCCCUCUCCCUUUAUCUCAUGUGAUGUUAUUAUUCAUACACCUUUAUCUUCUGCACUGGGCUGGGGUUCCAUGAGGUCAAGAACUAUGUCUUACCCAUCUUCGAAUUAUUACCACUUGGUAUAGAUGCUUAACUCUAGUAAUUGUUUUUAAAGUGAACCAAUCUAUUAAAUGGGGGUUUUCUGCAGUGUCUGGUGAAAACUACUGGAUAUGCUAUCAGGACUUCACAAAUAUUUGGAAAUAGCUAACUGAUUUUUAAAGGCAUGAAGAGACCACAUGAUGUGGGGUUCAAGGACCAGCAACUUCUGCAUCACAUGGCAGUUAGAAAUGCAGAGCAUCAGGCUGAACAUAAUGAAUUGGAUUUUAGUAAGAUCCUCACAAAUGAUUCCCUAAGCACUGGUGAAUUCACUAAAGGUUGAGAAGCCCAAAGACUAGGCUUAUUCUUACUAUUAUGGUUCUUUCAAAAGCAUAUAUUAUAUAAUAUGUUUAUCUGCAUCCUUGGAAAGAGUGUAGACAAUUGACAAGGUCAUGAGUUAUGGGGCACAUAGACCUGGGUUCAAUUUUCAGGACUAUUAUUUAACCUGAAUUUCUGUUCCCUCAUCUUUAAAAAGGAGAUGAUACCUGCAUCAUACUUUCUAUUGCGGAUUAAAUAAUGAACAUUGUAUCUUGUUCAGCAAAGGUUUGUUCCAUUCCCUUCCUUCUCAGUGCUGGACUUGCUAUGACCUGCAUUAUUGAACAUGGUUCACAAUAGUAGGAAAGGACUUAGACUCUAAGGAGAGAAUCCACAGGUCACCCUGUGCUCUUUGUCCCCAUAUCCCAUACUCGUUUCACUUCCAUCCACCAAACCUGUAGAGACCAGUCCUUGGAGUCAGAAAAAUAGUAUUUUGGGUGUGGCUCCACCAAUUACUUCAUCUCACUGAACUCCGAUUUCAUUUAUGAAAAGACUAGGAGUUCACGUUGUGGCUCAGUGGUAAUAAACACGAUUAGUGUCCAUGAGUACGCAGGUUUGAUCCCUGGCCUGGUUCAGUGGGUUAAGGAUCCAUCGUUGGUGUGAGCUGUGGUGUAGGUCACAGAUUGGGCUCAGAUUGUGUGUGGCUGUGGCUGUGGCACAGGCCAGCAGCUACAGUUCCAAUUUGAUCCCUAGUCUGGGAACUUCCAUAUGCCAUAGGUGCAGCCCUAAAAAAACAAAACACGACACACACACACACACACACACACAUAACAUCAGCAACAGAUAACAGCCCACCGGCACAUAGGUGCUCCAUAAAUGAUAGCUGUGAUUGGUUAAAGGUAGCUCUGAACAGCAUCAGAAUGUGCAAAACAGAUCUAUGGUCAGAGGACGUGAUUAAAUAGGGGUCUUCCCUUCCAUCAGCCUUUUUUGUUGGAUUAGACCUGAGUUUUUAUGUUUGUAGGUUUUAUGUGUUCUGUUCUGAAUAACUCAGAGGUAACAGCAUGCCCUAGCUCAGAACCGCCUUUUGUUUCCGAACACACAUGGGAUGCACUAGACAGCAGAGUGUAUCACCUUGCAGGUGUUCCUGGGAUUUGGGAAUCUGAGAGUGACUAGCUUUGUGUGAUGCGGUGACCAUGAACCAAAUAAGAAAACAGGCGUUUCUGAGAUGACUCUGGAGGAGAGCUCUUUGUACUGAGGCCAGAUUGCCAAGCCCGACUACAUAAAGGGGGCUCUUGGCCCUUUUGCUUCAGGGGUGCUGGUGUGUGGGCUGAGUGUUUUCUCUCACCUAGUUUUUAAUCCUUUGAAGGUCUGAAUACUACAUAUUUAUCUUAAUAGUCAUGGAAAGGAAAUCAAAUUGCUCAGCUCCACUUACGUAUGAAAUAAUCUUUGGGGAGAGUGGAAAUACCAGUGAAACAGGUCGUGUGGGCUCAUGUAUAAAGGAAGUUGGCAGGAUGGUCUAGAACUGUUUUUUUUCCUGUGGGUCUGGGAAACAAAAAACUCAGAAGGUUCACAUGUAUAUCCACACAUCACAUGAAUCUAUCUGAACACACCAAGUAUUUCAGGAAAGGGACGUACCUUAAAUGUGGCUACAAAACUUUUUUUUUUUUUUUUCUUUUGUCUUCUUAGGGCUGCAUCCACAGCAUAUGGAGGUGCCCAGGCUAGGGGUUGAAUCAGAGCUAUAGCUGCCAGCCUAUACCACAGCCACAGCAACAUGGGAUCCCAGCCGUGCCUGUGACCCACACCACAGCUCACGGCAA
Molecule: long non-coding RNA, 3853 nt
Filed under: Sus scrofa (pig)
Lineage: Eukaryota; Metazoa; Chordata; Mammalia; Artiodactyla; Suidae
Description: lncRNA (ENSSSCG00015072897.1)
Source: RNAcentral